UAAUUUGCCAGCUGGAUCAGAGACUUAGUUGCGCUGAAAUUUCCAAAAGAGGCUCGUGGUUAUCCCAAUUUCUGUUCUCUCUCAAUUUCGGUAUUAAUUCUGUUUCAAUCCAUAGAUUUCCAUCCCUCUCAUCGUCCAAAGGAUAUUUGAGUAUUUUGAGGUUGAAAGAUGGAGAGUGGGUUAGGGGAAUCGACAAGUAGGCACCCCCUCAGCCCUUCUUGCUCUAGCAAUAACAAUAACAACAGCGAUGCCGGGAAUUUUGAGUGCAAUAUUUGCUUUGAUUUAGCACAAGACCCUAUUGUCACACUCUGUGGUCACCUCUUUUGCUGGCCUUGCCUUUACAAAUGGCUUCACAUUCACUCUCGGUCCCGGGAAUGUCCGGUCUGUAAAGCUCUUAUUGACGAGGAGAAGUUAGUCCCUCUAUAUGGCCGAGGUAAGAACUCAACUGACCCUCGGUCUAAGUCAAUUCCUGGGAUGGAAAUUCCACAUCGGCCUGCGGGACAGAGGCCUGAAACAGCUCCUCCACCGGAUCCUAAUGCUAAUGCCUUUGCCCAACAAGGAUUUGGAGUUAUGGGAAGCCCCUUCAGGGGUUUUGCACCUAUGGCUACUGCGAGAUUUGGGAACUUCACAUUAUCUGCAGCUCUUGGUGGUCUAUUCCCUUCGUUUUUUAACAUACAAGUGCAUGGAUUUCCUGAUGCCAACAUGUAUGGGGCCGGUCCUGGUUUUCCCUUUGGGCAUUCAAAUGCCUUUCAUGGCGGACAUGCUCAUGGAUUUGCCCAUCGUGGAAAUCACCAGCAGCAGGCAGAUUCUACCUUGAAAUUUCUCCUAUUGGUGAUUGGUUUGAGUGUACUUAUGACUCUAAUUUGGAGUUAAGAUUCAUGAAGUUGCAUAUGUGGAUCUUGCUAAGGUAUAUUUUCUGUGAGUCUUGUAUCAAAUGGCUGAACAAUGGUGAAAUGCUAAAAGGAACGAGGAACAGAAAUUUCUAUAUUUUUGAUCUAAUUUGGAGAUAUCUUGCAGUUUAGUUCACCCUGUAAACCUUUAUGUGGAAAAUUUUCUUAUUGGCAUUGGGCAUUAAGAGUUGCAUAUGUGGGAAAUCCAGAUGCCAUUCCUCUGAAGUGUAUGCAGCUUGGAAGCUUCAAAAUUAAAAGGAUUUUGUUGAUUCUACCUUACUCAUUGUCGGUAACAGAAUGAUCAUUGUUAAAUAAUGUUUCGAGCAUAUUGAUUGGUUUGAUUACUGGGCUCAAGAACAUUGUACUUAUUUCUUUUAGAUCAAUCUUGUCUUCUAUUUUAUCUUCAAAAGGUUGAAUGUUUUUGAUUCGUGGCCAUUAAUAGUAUUAAUAUGAUCAUAAUGGUAGCUACUAAUUACAGCCACGAAUUUUUGGGCUAAACUUGGGAAAUAUUGUUUUGUUAACCAUGCUAAUUUGCUUGAAAUAUUAUUCUGAACUCAUUUGCA
This is an RNA transcript of Olea europaea var. sylvestris, 1453 nucleotides long. It is a transcript of the gene named E3 ubiquitin-protein ligase RNF185-like, with no coding region annotated. The transcript is spliced from 4 exons. The record is from RefSeq and is a predicted model, not a curated record. Lineage: Eukaryota; Viridiplantae; Streptophyta; Magnoliopsida; Lamiales; Oleaceae.